RNAcentral lists this ribosomal RNA (196 nucleotides) under Onchocerca volvulus. RNAcentral describes it as "partial 18S ribosomal RNA". It matches the Rfam family "Eukaryotic small subunit ribosomal RNA", at positions 1641 to 1831 of the family's 1831-position model. The record is from RNAcentral. Lineage: Eukaryota; Metazoa; Nematoda; Chromadorea; Rhabditida; Onchocercidae.
UUGAUUACGUCCCUGCCCUUUGUACACACCGCCCGUCACUGCCCGGGACUGAGCCGUUUCGAGAAAAGCGGAGACUGCUGUUUUGAUACCUUUCGAGGUGGAGAUUCUUUGAUGGAAACCGCUUUAAUCGCAGUAGCUUGAACCGGGCAAAAGUCGUAACAAGGUUUCCGUAGGUGAACCUGCGGAAGGAUCAUUA